This 274-nucleotide ribosomal RNA is filed under the name uncultured bacterium. RNAcentral describes it as "partial 16S ribosomal RNA". It matches the Rfam family "Bacterial small subunit ribosomal RNA", at positions 523 to 796 of the family's 1533-position model. The record is from RNAcentral.
AUACGGAGGGUGCAAGCGUUACUCGGAAUCACUGGGCGUAAAGCGCGCGCAGGCGGCUAUUUAAGUUGGAUGUGAAAGCCUACGGCUCAACCGUAGAACUGCAUCCAAAACUAUUUAGCUAGAGUGUGGGAGAGGGAGAUGGAAUUAGUUGUGUAGGGGUAAAAUCCGUAGAGAUAACUAGGAAUACCAAAAGCGAAGGCAAUCUUCUGGAACACUACUGACGCUGAGGCGCGAAAGCGUGGGGAGCAAACGGGAUUAGAUACCCCUGUAGUCC